Molecule: long non-coding RNA, 4388 nt
Organism: Balaenoptera acutorostrata (minke whale)
Lineage: Eukaryota; Metazoa; Chordata; Mammalia; Artiodactyla; Balaenopteridae
Exons: 5
Source: RefSeq, a predicted model, not a curated record
GCAACUAAGCCCCGUGUGCUACAACUACUGAGCCUGUGUGCUGCAACUACUGAAGCCUGCGCUCUAGAGCCCGUGAGCCACAACAAGAGAAGCCACCGCAAUGAGAAGCUCGUGCACCACAACGAAGAGUAGCCCCCGCUCACCGCAACUAGAGGAAGCCCGCGUGCAGCAACGAAGACCCAACGCCGCCAUAAAUAAAUAAAUUUAUUAAAAAAAAAAAAAGAAGAAGAAGAAUCUAUGGCCCAAGUGGUGUCCAUUUGCAGCUCUGCCGUCCUGACGGGGAGGGAGUAUUACUGAGCCAGGGUUAAAAGCACAGUUCAGCUGAGCUGCCUUCCUCUCCUGCAGGCUCUAGAACUCUCUCCUGCGUGGUCCGGCGUGCUCUGGCCCACCCUGUUAGUGCAUGGAUGUUUGAUUGCCUUCUGCCAAGCCUUGGCAUCCUCUUCCCCAUCUGUCCGAACCUCAAGCUCUGAGUUCUGAGUCUUUAUUAGCUGGUACAUAAGAAAGACUCAUGAAUCCUCAGCAAUCUCAGUGACCUUAACAACAUGGUGCAUCAUCUUCCUGCGUCUAACUGGAGGCCCCAUCUCUGCAACCUCUCACAGCUCUCGCCUCCCUAUGAGGGAUGAGGGUCCUUUCCUGGGAAGGGGUACUUCAGCUCCUGCCAGGCAUUCACUGAAGAUGACAACAGCCACGACAUUCCCUGCUUAAUACAGCUAAAUAUCUAUUCAGCCAGCAUGUUCCUCCAAAGCCAUUGGGCAUUGUGGCUUAAUUACGUCUUAAUCAAGGCUGCACAGUUACCUCAGGAAACUCAAGUGUUUCUAGUGGGUGUGGCUUAAAGAUGACAGGUAGCUUCAUCUUUAGACAGUCUAUGAAUUAUACGGAUUUUACUCAACGGGUUUCCAAAGUCGGUUUUUAUGUAUUCCUCUUAUACACCUUUGCUGCAGAAUCUUUACUUCCUGCUUCUGCCUGCAUCCAUGGACCACCGCCAGCUGAUUUCUUCCACAUGAAGCAGGUUCCGUGGUGCAGAUCUGGACUCGGCUUUCACAUGGGGUUCAGGACAUCUGCGACCUUUGUCAGUAGAGAUAAAUUGUCUUCUGGACCACCGUUAACCAGACAGAACAAGAUAGAAAUGGCGCAAACAUGUUUCUAAGGAAGCAAGAUCUGAAAUGUCCUGUGCCUCAACCCCAGAGAAGCAGCAUCCGGAGCUGUUGGAAGAAGCCAAGGACCAACAAGCCCGCCCCUCUGAGAUGUGAAGCUCACUCUUCAUGCUCCCACGAGCCUUCUUCCUACCUUUUUGAGGACAGUCAGUGGGAAGACUGUCUUCUCACAGUUAGACUCUUUAAACCAGACAGCUUUCCACUAAUAUUUCAUUUUAGAAGGUUGAAAUCUGGUUUCACAGGAAACUCAUUCCACAGAGACUUUUCCCUUCCACUCAGAUCCAAUUAUUGGAAACAAAGAUGUACACAGCACCUCCUUUAAAAAAAGGAAAAAUAGUUCAAACUCGGGGGCAGCAGAAAAUGAAACCACAGCCAUUUGUCAAAAGGCCCAUUAAGCCCAUUAUUUUCUGAAAGGACAUCUUUUGGCAGCCUUUUGUCAGUUCCAAAUUUAGAGGUGCUCAUUCAGGAUGUGAGAGUGGAAAUGAUGAAGUUAAGAGAGGCUCCACUGAUGCUCUUUUUAAGCCAACCCAUGUGUCCUCAUCAGGGGGAUGCAAAAUUCAUUAGGAAAAUGAGGUCUCCUUGGCUGAAAGCUGCUCCCUCUGUUCCCAUUACCAUCCGCACCUCUCAGAACCACUCGAUGACCUGCCUGCCCCAGAACACCUUGUAGCCCCACAGCUGGAUUCUGACUGUAGUAGCUGUAGUGACUCCUGAAGCACUGCCGGGGCCACUCCUGGCUUUUCCUCCUGGAGCUCCAAGGGAUCCCUGUUCAGUGCCCUUCUCUUCUGUCCUCAGUCCCUGGCUCCUCCACCUUUCCUGAAGGAGAAAAAUAAGGAGUGAGGUCAUUGUAACUCACAGGGCUGGAGAAUCUCUAUCCUCUUGAUGGGAAAGCCCUUCGCUUUUGCUCCUUCUCCCAGACUGUUGGUCUCUGAUACACAUAGCCCCUCCAGCAUCAUCGCUGGCGUUUGCAGGCGGGAGCCUUGGAGUUGGAGCCCACAGUUUUGAACACCUAAUCCACAGCUUCCGCUCUGAAAGACCCUUGAAAAGAUAACUGACUUCAGAAUGUCUGACUUACUUAUCCAAAGGGGCAAUUGUGAGAAUCAGAAAACAUUAUUCACGGAACACUGUACUGCGUUGAAUAAUAUCCUCCAAAAAUCCAUGUCUACCUGGAAUCUGUGAAUGUGACCUUAUUUGGAAACAAAGUCUUCGCAGGUGCAUUCAAGUUCAGAUGAGGUCACACUGGAUUAGGCAUUUAUAAAAUGAAUUACUUGGGACCAAGCUGGUAUCUGCAGAGUGAAGAGUAAUCGUCGAUUGGUUUGAGAAGGCAUGAGUCUUACAGAGAGCUGUGUUCCCGUGAAACGAUGACCAAGGCUCUGCCUCAGCUGGAAAAUAUAUUGAUAAGUUGUGUGGAAUCAAUCAAUCAGGGAAGGCAGACAUGAUGUAAGAAGUCUAACUACCCUGUGACCACCAAUUUGGGAGAAGCCAGCCUAGCCAUGUGUAGCAGCCACGUGGAGGAGAACCGAGGCCUCCAGCCAACAGCCCCAGCUGUGCUUCUAGCUGACGACCAGGACCAACCUGCCAGCCCUCAGUGAGGCCACCUUCAAAGUGGAUCCUUUGAUGCCCCAUGAAAUGUCCGUACCUAGCCCUGCUCAGAUUACAGAAUCCUGAGCAAAUCAAUAAAAUGGUGGUUGUUUAAGCCACUAAGUUUGGGGAUAAUUUGUUACACUGCAGUAGAUAACCAAACAGACAUCUAGUCUCAGCUCAAACUCUUCUAGGAACAGGAGACUCUGUGCUUUAUAAAGUAAUUCAUUCCAUUUUUUAAAAUAGCAAUAAUUGCUAGAACAUUCUUUUCUACAUUUAACCCAAAUCUGCCUUCCUAUCAUUCACAACCUGUCUCUAUGGAGAGUAAGUCUACGUCCUCUUGCAUGGCAGCUCUUCCAGUGUCUACAGGUAAUCAUGACCGUCACUCCCUACACCUCCCACCCUCAUGUUACUCCCAUGCCUGAGGCAUGCAUACAAGCCUUCUCUUUUUAGAGAUAAACAUCACCAGCUCCUUCAAGUCCCAUUCUUUCCUUAAAAGCUCAAACUCUUACAGGUAUAUCAGAUGCCAUCUAGAAGCGCACAAGGGAGUUUUCUUCACUUUUAAGAGAACACCAGUAUUUCAGGCCAUGGUUUGCUCAGAAAUAUUUUGUCAGAAAAUUACUGGUUAGAAAAAAUAUAUAUGAAUUAUUAUUUAUGUUUGCUGCAAAUGCAACCAGUAAAGAAGAUGAGUGAGGUUGUUAUCUAUUUAAGGCAGAGAACUCUCUUUGAGUCGUUUGGGUUGCUCUCAAAAGGCUUCAAAACCCGACUGUCCUUAUGCAGACAAAGAUUUUCUUUGAUAUGGCAAGUCUGUUUCUAAGUUACUGCUGGAAACAGGCUGUGACGCUGGGAAUUCAAUUAUUGACCCAACUUCAUGGUCAGUCAGUGCUGGUGACUGUACCACAGCAGACAUAUGGAGCUCUACAUUUGCGAUGAGAUGGCCAAGUGAUGGAUGGAUGUAGCCAGUGUUUCUCUGGUCCUUGUUCAAGUAAGACUGUGUGUAUUAUAAGAAGAUGACACCUUAGCCGUUUUAAAGAGUCAAUAUAAGAUGGAAUGGCAUCUGGGGGCAAAGUGAAUGCAUAUUAUUGCUCCAGAUAUUUUUUCCCUAAAGCAUCGCAGAAUUUCCGUAUUGUACAGAAGGGUCUAUAUGGGGAGGAUUGCCUGGAGUCAUACAGCUGGGUUUGUCCCUCCAGCUCUGUCACUCCUUGGCUUUCUUACAAUGGACUAAAUUAUAAUACAAAAUCUCUCUGUGAAUUAAUUUCAUCCUUUAUGAAAUUGAAAUAAAUACUUUACAGCAUUGGUGGAAACACUGACAAACUCUCUAUUAAACAUGUUAUAAAUAAUAAAGUGGCAUAUAAGUAUAAAGGUCACUGCGUGUCCAUGUAGACACCCUUUAACACACUAGACCUCUUCAAAUUCCAACGACCUCACCAACCAUAAAUUUGUUUUCUACAUCUGUGACUCUAUUUCUGUUUUGUAAAUAAGUUCAUUUGUACCACUUUACAUAGGGAACUCUACUCAAUACUCUGUAAUGAUCUAUAUGGGAAAAGAUUCUAUAUAAGAGUGGUUAACUGAUUCACUUUGCUGUACAUCUGAAACUAACACAACAUUGUAAAUCAACUAUACUCCAAUAAAAUAUUUUUUUAAAAAAAAGAAUAA